This is a non-coding RNA of Brassica napus (rape), 297 nucleotides long. NCBI's taxonomy places the organism in Eukaryota, Viridiplantae, Streptophyta, Magnoliopsida, Brassicales, Brassicaceae. The record is from Rfam.
GUGUAAGUAUGAACGAUUUCAGACUGUGAAACUGCAAAUGGCUCAUUAAAUCAGUUAUAGUUUGUUUGAUGGUAACUACUACUCGGAUAACCGUUGUAAUUCUAGAGCUAAUACGUGCAACAAACCCCGACUUCUGGAAGGGAUGCAUUUAUUAGAUAAAAGGUCGAUGCGGGCUCUGUGAAAUGCCCCGACCCGGUUUCCCUUAACGUCGGUUCGUCCUCAGUUUGCUUGCCCCGACCCAAACUGGCCUUUUAUGUUUACUCGGUUAACUAUCAUGGAUAACAACCUUACUGAAAG